UACGAAGGGGGCUAGCGUUGCUCGGAAUCACUGGGCGUAAAGCGCGCGCAGGCGGUCCUGUAAGUCGGACGUGAAAGCCCGGGGCUCAACCUCGGAAGUGCGUCUGAUACUGCAGGACUGGAGUACUGGAGAGGAGAGCGGAAUUCCCGGUGUAGAGGUGAAAUUCGUAGAUAUCGGGAGGAACACCAGUGGCGAAGGCGGCUCUCUGGACAGAUACUGACGCUGAGGCGCGAAAGCGUGGGAAGCAAACAGG
Molecule: ribosomal RNA, 253 nt
Filed under: uncultured bacterium
Lineage: Bacteria
Description: partial 16S ribosomal RNA
Rfam family: Bacterial small subunit ribosomal RNA
Source: RNAcentral